This 520-nucleotide ribosomal RNA is filed under the name uncultured Glomus. Its description in RNAcentral is "bacterial SSU rRNA". It matches the Rfam family "Eukaryotic small subunit ribosomal RNA", at positions 569 to 1083 of the family's 1831-position model. The record is from RNAcentral. Lineage: Eukaryota; Fungi; Glomeromycota; Glomeromycetes; Glomerales; Glomeraceae.
AGCAGCCGCGGUAAUUCCAGCUCCAAUAGCGUAUAUUAAAGUUGUUGCAGUUAAAAAGCUCGUAGUUGAAUUUCGGGAUCAAUUUGCCGGUCGAGACCUCUGGUACGUACUUGUAUUAUUGAUUUCUUUCAUUCUGAUAAAUCAUUGAUGUCAUUAAUUUGAUGACUUUGAGGAAUCGGAACUUUUACUUUGAAAAAAUUAGAGUGUUUAAAGCAGGCUUAUUAGGCUUGAAUACAUUAGCAUGGAAUAAUGAAAUAGGACGAUUGAUCCUAUUUUUGUUGGUUUCUAGGAUUGACGUAAUGAUUAAUAGGGAUAGUUGGGGGCAUUAGUAUUCAAUUGUCAGAGGUGAAAUUCUUGGAUUUAUUGAAGACUAACUACUGCGAAAGCAUUUGCCAAGGAUGUUUUCAUUAAUCAAGAACGAAAGUUAGGGGAUCGAAGACGGUCAGAUACCGUCGUAGUCUUAACCAUAAACUAUGCCGACUAGGGAUUCGGGAAUUGAUGUUAAUUCUUUUUAAAUGUA